RNAcentral lists this long non-coding RNA (329 nucleotides) under Brassica napus (rape). RNAcentral describes it as "long non-coding RNA (BNAP_LNC005083)". Lineage: Eukaryota; Viridiplantae; Streptophyta; Magnoliopsida; Brassicales; Brassicaceae. The record is from RNAcentral.
CUAAGGAAGAAGGAGAGAAGAAAGGGAGUUAUUACAUCAGAAGAGACACCAGAAAACCCAACUGAGACAUCAGAAGCUGUAAUCGAAACUCCAAGGGAGAUUGAUAUUCCAAAGAAACAAACCGCUGAGGAGAGCCAACAAAUCAAGAAGUCCCACAAAGCAUCAUCACAGUUUCUCAAACAAAACAAGUCGAAAUCUAUUCCACUACCUUUGAGGAACCGAGGAAGCAAGAAAAAACUGAAGCAGUGGAUGUGGAUUGGACUCAUAGUUCUGGUCGCCCUCGCAUUGUUCCUUCUCGGUAACGCAAAUCUCUCCUUCUCUCCCGAAAA